RNAcentral lists this ribosomal RNA (253 nucleotides) under uncultured bacterium. RNAcentral describes it as "partial 16S ribosomal RNA". It matches the Rfam family "Bacterial small subunit ribosomal RNA", at positions 524 to 776 of the family's 1533-position model. The record is from RNAcentral.
CACGUAGGGUGCGAGCGUUGUCCGGAAUUAUUGGGCGUAAAGAGCUCGUAGGCGGUUUGUCGCGUCGGAUGUGAAAACCCGGGGCUCAACUCCGGGCCUGCAUUCGAUACUGGCAGACUAGAGUUCGGUAGGGGAGUCUGGAAUUCCUGGUGUAGCGGUGAAAUGCGCAGAUAUCAGGAGGAACACCGGUGGCGAAGGCGGGACUCUGGGCCGAUACUGACGCUGAGGAGCGAAAGCGUGGGGAGCAAACAGG